This 346-nucleotide long non-coding RNA is filed under the name Ananas comosus (pineapple). RNAcentral describes it as "long non-coding RNA (ACOM_LNC040320)". Lineage: Eukaryota; Viridiplantae; Streptophyta; Magnoliopsida; Poales; Bromeliaceae. The record is from RNAcentral.
AUUGAAUAUUCAUCUUUAGGUGUAGCUAAAUUUAAGUUCCUAAAGUCGAUACAAACUCUGAGUUUACCAUUCUUUUUACGUACUGGAACUAUAUUAGACACCCAAUCAACAUAACGGGCCGCUCUAAUAAAUCCGGCCUUUAAAAGAUUUUCAAUUUCAUUUUUAAUCUGAAGUACAAUACUCGGCUCGAACCUACGAGCCGGUUGUUUAAAAGGCUUGAACCCGUCUUUGAUAGGCAGCCGAUGCUCUACAAUUUCUCGGCUUAACCCUGGCAUUUCUUGAUAGCUCCAAGCGAAACAAUCUUUGUAUUCUUCCAAUAGUUUCUUCAAUUCUUCUUGUUGCCGAA